RNAcentral lists this long non-coding RNA (753 nucleotides) under Solanum tuberosum (potato). RNAcentral's name for it is "long non-coding RNA (STUB_LNC003948)". The record is from RNAcentral. Lineage: Eukaryota; Viridiplantae; Streptophyta; Magnoliopsida; Solanales; Solanaceae.
UUUCUUCAGAAGCAUAGUAGAGAUGCGAAGUACACGUGCACAAGCAAGGGACAUGGUCCAACCAUGAAACUUCAGAAGCUCAAUGUCUUUCUCGGCAUCAAGAGAGUUUAUGUAUGCAAUUGUCUCAGCAGAGUAAGGUUGUUGUGCUUGAGGCCAGUAGAGCCAAUCAAAAGUACAAUCUUCAAACUGUAUUAGAAAAGGGGGAAAUUAGAGGAUGGGAUGGGGUAAAAAAUGAGUGGGGAACCAUAACUGGAAAAGAAAAAUCAGGGCACGGAGAAGUAGUCUUGAUUAAUGCAAUCACAUUCCACAAAUUGGCAGAUAACACAAGAAGCAUAGGAUGAAAGACUGAAUCAACACCUAGUGUACCAUGAUCUAGAGUGAAUGAGCAAAAAAUGAUGCAUACCAGGGAAUACUCUCUUAACCUAUAUCAUACUCCUCAUAAAACAUAUAUUCUUCUAAAACUGAUCAUAGAAAAUAUAUACAUCACCAUAGAAGUCAUAAAAAGGCCUGAAAUAGACCCAGUAAAGGGAAUCAGAAGAGAAGUUAAUUAAUACCCAUAUCAUCUUAGGAUAUGCCAUCUAAGAUUACUACGUGCUUCUAUAGUUCUAUUUGGUGAAUAUUGGAUGCUGAGUUGAGACACUUACAUUUUCAGGCAAGCAGUAGCCAUGAUCAAUUGGUAUAAGCACAAGCUGACCAUCCUUAUCAUCUUUCUGAACCAAAAUGUUUCCAGCAUGCCUAUCUGCAUUAGCCAAC